UGGGGAAUAUUGCACAAUGGGCGCAAGCCUGAUGCAGCCAUGCCGCGUGUGUGAAGAAGGCCUUCGGGUUGUAAAGCACUUUCAGCGAGGAGGAAGGUGGUGAACUUAAUACGUUCAUCAAUUGACGUUACUCGCAGAAGAAGCACCGGCUAACUCCGUGCCAGCAGCCGCGGUAAUACGGAGGGUGCAAGCGUUAAUCGGAAUUACUGGGCGUAAAGCGCACGCAGGCGGUUUGUUAAGUCAGAUGUGAAAUCCCCGGGCUCAACCUGGGAACUGCAUUUGAAACUGGCAAGCUAGAGUCUCGUAGAGGGGGGUAGAAUUCCAGGUGUAGCGGUGAAAUGCGUAGAGAUCUGGAGGAAUACCGGUGGCGAAGGCGGCCCCCUGGACGAAGACUGACGCUCAGGUGCGAAAAGCGUGGGGAGCAAACAGGAUUAGAUAACCCUGGUAGUCCACGCUGUAAAACGAUGUCGAUUUUGGAGGUUGUGCCCUUGAGGCGUGGCUUCCGGAGCUAACGCGUUAAAUCGACCGCCUGUGGAGUACGGCCGCAAGGUUAAAACUCAAAUGAAUUGACGGGGUCAUAGCUGUUUCCU
RNAcentral lists this ribosomal RNA (590 nucleotides) under uncultured bacterium. RNAcentral's name for it is "partial 16S ribosomal RNA". It matches the Rfam family "Bacterial small subunit ribosomal RNA", at positions 355 to 1375 of the family's 1533-position model. The record is from RNAcentral.